Molecule: small nuclear RNA, 132 nt
Filed under: Neogale vison (American mink)
Lineage: Eukaryota; Metazoa; Chordata; Mammalia; Carnivora; Mustelidae
Description: Neovison vison (American mink) U4 spliceosomal RNA (ENSNVIG00000020018.1)
Rfam family: U4 spliceosomal RNA
About the family: U4 small nuclear RNA (U4 snRNA) is a component of the major U2-dependent spliceosome. The structure of U4 snRNA from yeast and human has been reported.
Source: Rfam by way of RNAcentral
AGCUUUGCGCAGGGACAGUAUUGUAGCCAAUGAGGUUUAUCCGAGGAACGAUUAUUGCUACUUAAAAUCUCGUUCAUAAUAGCAAAUUAUGAAUAUGUAUAUAUGUGUGUAAUGUAUGUAUACAAAAAUUUG